GAUGAAGAACGCAGCGAAAUGCGAUAAGUAAUGUGAAUUGCAGAAUUCAGUGAAUCAUCGAAUCUUUGAACGCACCUUGCGCCCUUUGGCCAUUCCGAAGGGCAUGCCUGUUUGAGUAUCAUGAACACCUCAACUCUUCAUGGUUUUCCAUGAUGAGCUUGGACUUUGGGGGUCUUGCUGGCCUGUGGGUCGGCUCCUCUCAAAUGAAUCAGCUUGCCGGUUUUUGGUGGGCAUCACAGGUGUGAUAACUAUCUACGCUUGUGGUUUUCCACCAGGGUAACCUUCAGCAGUGGAGGUUCACUGGAGCUUACAAAUGUCUCUCCUCUGUGAGGACAGCCCUUUGAAUGUUUGAUCUCAAAUCAGGUAGGACUACCCGCUGAACUUAAGCAUAUCAAUAAGGAGGA
Molecule: unclassified non-coding RNA, 404 nt
Filed under: soil metagenome
Description: partial contains 5.8S ribosomal RNA, internal transcribed spacer 2, and large subunit ribosomal RNA
Rfam family: 5.8S ribosomal RNA (bases 1-121)
Source: RNAcentral